This 404-nucleotide unclassified non-coding RNA is filed under the name soil metagenome. RNAcentral describes it as "partial contains 5.8S ribosomal RNA, internal transcribed spacer 2, and large subunit ribosomal RNA". The stretch from base 1 to 121 matches the Rfam family "5.8S ribosomal RNA", at positions 35 to 154 of the family's 154-position model. The record is from RNAcentral.
GAUGAAGAACGCAGUGAAAUGCGAUAAGUAAUGUGAAUUGCAGAAUUCAGUGAAUCAUCGAAUCUUUGAACGCACCUUGCGCCCUUUGGCCAUUCCGAAGGGCAUGCCUGUUUGAGUAUCAUGAACACCUCAACUCCUCAUGGUCUUCUAUGAUGAGCUUGGACUUUGGGGGCUUGCUGGCCCAUUUGGUCAGCUCCUCUCAAAUGAAUCAGCCUACCAGUGUUUGGUGGCACCACAGGUGUGAUAACAAUCUACGCUUGAGGUUUUCCACCAGGCAACCUUCAGUAAUUGGGGUUCACUGGGGCUCACAAAUGUCUUUCUUCAGUGAGGACAGCUCUUUGAAUGUUUGAUCUCCAAUCAGGUAGGACUACCCGCUGAACUUAAGCAUAUCAAUAAGCGGAGGA